UACGUAGGAGGCAAGCGUUUGUCCGGAAUUACUGGGCGUAAAGCGCGUGUAGGUGGUGGGACAAGUCUGCUGUGAAAGCGCCUGGCUUAACCGGGCGAGGUCGGCGGAAACUGUCCGACUCGAGGACGGUAGAGGGGGGUGGAAUUCCCGGUGUAGUGGUGAAAUGCGUAGAGAUCGGGAGGAACACCUGUGGCGAAGGCGGCCCCCCUGGGGCCGGCCCCUGACACUGAGACGCGGAAGGCGUGGGGGAGCGAACCGGG
RNAcentral lists this ribosomal RNA (260 nucleotides) under uncultured bacterium. RNAcentral describes it as "partial 16S ribosomal RNA". It matches the Rfam family "Bacterial small subunit ribosomal RNA", at positions 524 to 777 of the family's 1533-position model. The record is from RNAcentral.